UGGGGCGAUAAUUUUAUAAAGUGGCGAUAAAGUGUGGGCCGAUUGACCAGUGGGGCGAAUUGACAUUGUUUGACAUCUACUCAUCGUGUUCGGGGUCAUAAAGGGUAUACAUCAUAUAGUAAUAUAGAAAGUUUAUUAUAAUGGUUGUGUGGCGUUCUAAACUAGAUUUUAUGAAUUGUAAAUGGUUUUUCGUCUUAUCUAAAAUAGCUGGGAUGUAAAAUAAUUAUCACACUCGGACUUGGUGUGUCAGUGUUAGAUCACCCUCUGGCCUCCGGCCAUCGGGGUGAUCUUACA
This 294-nucleotide long non-coding RNA is filed under the name Mytilus galloprovincialis (Mediterranean mussel). Lineage: Eukaryota; Metazoa; Mollusca; Bivalvia; Mytilida; Mytilidae. The record is from RNAcentral.